RNAcentral lists this ribosomal RNA (497 nucleotides) under uncultured bacterium. Its description in RNAcentral is "partial 16S ribosomal RNA". It matches the Rfam family "Bacterial small subunit ribosomal RNA", at positions 28 to 507 of the family's 1533-position model. The record is from RNAcentral.
GAUGAACGCUGGCGGCGUGCCUAACACAUGCAAGUCGAACGAACAGACGAUGAGCUUGUUCCUUUGACGUUAGCGGCGGACGGGUGAGUAACACGUGGAUCACCUACCUAUAAUUCUGGGAUAAUUUCGGGAAACCGGAUCUAAUACCGGAUAAUAUAUUGAACCGCAUGGUUCAAUAGUGAAUGACGGCUUUGCUGUCACUUAUAGCUGGUUCCGCGCUGCAUUAGCUAGUUGGUAAGGUAACGGCUUACCAAGGCGACGAUGCGUAGCCGACCUGAGAGGGUGAUCGGCCACACUGGAACUGAGACACGGUCCAGACUCCUACGGGAGGCAGCAGUAGGGAAUCUUCGGCAAUGGGCGAAAGCCUGACGAAGCAAGGCCGCGUGAGUGAUGAAGGUCUUCGGAUCGUAAAACUCUGUUAUUGGGGAAGAACAGAUGUGUAAGUAACUAUGGACGUCUUGACGGUACCUAAUCAGAAAGCAACGGCUAACUACGUG